AGAGUUUGAUUCUGGCUCAGGAUAAACGCUGGCGGCGUGCCUAAUACAUGCAAGUCGAACGAAGGGAACCAGUUACUGGUGAACUUAGUGGCGAACGGGUGAGUAAUACGUAAGCAACCUGCCCACGGAGACCGGGAUAAUCCCUGGAAACGGGGACUAAGACCGGAUAGGCAGCGGAGGGGCAUCCCACUGCUGUUAAAGAUGGAAAACACUGGUGGAUGGGCUUACGGUGCAUUAGCUUGUUGGUGAGGUAACGGCCCACCAAGGCGAUGAUGCAUAGCCGGCCUGAGAGGGUGAACGGCCACAUUGGGACUGAGACACGGCCCAGACUCCUACGGGAGGCAGCAGUAGGGAAUUUUCGGCAAUGGAGGAAACUCUGACCGAGCAACGCCGCGUGAAGUGAAGAAGGUCUUCGGAUUGUAAAGCUCUGUUGUAAGGGAAGAACGGUCUGUGGGGAACACAGGAGUGACGGUACCUUACCAGAAAGCCACGGCUAACUACGUGCCAGCAGCAGC
RNAcentral lists this ribosomal RNA (515 nucleotides) under uncultured bacterium. RNAcentral describes it as "bacterial SSU rRNA". It matches the Rfam family "Bacterial small subunit ribosomal RNA", at positions 8 to 518 of the family's 1533-position model. The record is from RNAcentral.